UACGUAGGGUGCAAGCGUUAAUCGGAAUUACUGGGCGUAAAGCGUGCGCAGGCGGUUUUGUAAGUCUGAUGUGAAAUCCCCGGGCUCAACCUGGGAAUUGCAUUGGAGACUGCAAGGCUAGAAUCUGGCAGAGGGGGGUAGAAUUCCACGUGUAGCAGUGAAAUGCGUAGAGAUGUGGAGGAACACCAGUGGCGCAGGCGGCGUCCUGGACCGGCACUGACGCUGAGGAGCGAAAGCGUGGGGAGCGAUCCGG
RNAcentral lists this ribosomal RNA (253 nucleotides) under uncultured bacterium. RNAcentral describes it as "partial 16S ribosomal RNA". It matches the Rfam family "Bacterial small subunit ribosomal RNA", at positions 524 to 776 of the family's 1533-position model. The record is from RNAcentral.